GGAGGUGUGGCCGAGUGGUCGAUGGCGGCAGUCUUGAAAACUGUUGUACGGCAACGUACCGGGGGUUCGAAUCCCUCCGCCUCCG
This 85-nucleotide transfer RNA is filed under the name Bacteroidales bacterium. RNAcentral describes it as "tRNA-Ser". It matches the Rfam family "tRNA". From Rfam's summary of the family: Transfer RNA (tRNA) molecules are approximately 80 nucleotides in length. Their secondary structure includes four short double-helical elements and three loops (D, anti-codon, and T loops). Further hydrogen bonds mediate the characteristic L-shaped molecular structure. tRNAs have two regions of fundamental functional importance: the anti-codon, which is responsible for specific mRNA codon recognition, and the 3' end, to which the tRNAs corresponding amino acid is attached (by aminoacyl-tRNA synthetases). tRNAs cope with the degeneracy of the genetic code in two manners: having more than one tRNA (with a specific anti-codon) for a particular amino acid; and 'wobble' base-pairing, i.e. permitting non-standard base-pairing at the 3rd anti-codon position. The record is from RNAcentral. RNAcentral also lists the same sequence under 1 other name. Lineage: Bacteria; Pseudomonadati; Bacteroidota; Bacteroidia; Bacteroidales.